AGAAUGAACGCUGGCGGCAUGCCUAACACAUGCAAGUCGAACGAGACCUUCGGGUCUAGUGGCGCACGGGUGCGUAACGCGUGGGAAUCUACCCUUGGGUUCGGAAUAACAGUGAGAAAUUACUGCUAAUACCGGAUAAUGUCGCAAGACCAAAGAUUUAUUGCCCAAGGAUGAGCCCGCGUAAGAUUAGCUAGUUGGUGGGGUAAAGGCCUACCAAGGCGACGAUCUUUAGCUGGUCUGAGAGGAUGAUCAGCCACACUGGGACUGAGACACGGCCCAGACUCCUACGGGAGGCAGCAGUGGGGAAUAUUGGACAAUGGGCGAAAGCCUGAUCCAGCAAUGCCGCGUGAGUGAUGAAGGCCUUAGGGUUGUAAAGCUCUUUUACCCGGGAAGAUAAUGACUGUACCGGGAGAAUAAGCCCGGCUAACUCCGCGCCAGCAGCCGC
This 445-nucleotide ribosomal RNA is filed under the name uncultured bacterium. RNAcentral describes it as "SSU rRNA". It matches the Rfam family "Bacterial small subunit ribosomal RNA", at positions 26 to 518 of the family's 1533-position model. The record is from RNAcentral.